CUCUCGAAUCUAUCUGCUGAGUCUUAUCUUUUUCUUUCAAUAUCUCUAACUUAGGAGGUGAGAGAGCAAAACUAAGAGUAAAGAGAAAAAUCAGAGGAAUAUAGUGAGAUCCUACCUUGAAAUUCUGGUUUUUGAUUCGAGGAAAAGAUGGUGAAGUUCGUGAACUCUUGAAUUUGUUAAUCUCAGUAGGAAAUUAAGAUCAUUCGAAUAGGGAAUGGGGUUUAUCGGUGUUGUUGACUGAAUGUUUAAUGUAUCUUUGGCUUUGAUUGGCGAACUUCAGGGGUUAAGGUUUGAGUGCGGUUCGAGGUGGGAAUUUACAUUGUUUUUUGGUAUUUUUGGGAAAUAAACAUUUUUGGAAAAUUCGGCUCGAAAAGCUGCAAAAGGC
Molecule: long non-coding RNA, 385 nt
Organism: Papaver somniferum (opium poppy)
Lineage: Eukaryota; Viridiplantae; Streptophyta; Magnoliopsida; Ranunculales; Papaveraceae
Exons: 3
Source: RefSeq, a predicted model, not a curated record